UGUGAUGGCUGGUUUGUACACGGAGAAUCUUCAUGCACUAUUUUAAAAUGUUUACAGUUGUCCUUCGUGUGCACCCGGGGACUGAAUGGUGGGAGUCCAGGGCUAGGUCUUGCUUUAGCAGCAGAGCCUGGGGGCCUUGGAGCUGGAUCUGUGUGGCUCCAAGGAGGAAAGCCUGAUUUCUGCACUUUUAAAAAUGGGCAGUUUUUAUAAAAUGAACUGCCCUCUUAUCCAGGGGUCGGGAUGGGUCUUACAUGAGCAGGCUUCUCCAGAGCUCAGGGGGGGUCUGCUGGGGAGACCACCGGCACCCCGGGCCUGAAAUUGCUGUGACCCCAACCCGGAAAUCCCAGGCUCACGGCUCAGUCUGGCAUCUUCACCCCGGAAGUACUUAAUGACAUGGGCAGGACAACUUCUUUUUCCAUCUUUUGCUUACAUUUUCAUAAAGUGAUAUCCUGAGAAGGCUUAGAACUUACAGCGGUCAUGCUAUUUCCACGGUUUCCCCCCGUGCCUGUGCAGAGGGAGUGGCUUGUCCCCCUUGACCCCUGUGGGAGGAGGAGCAGGGCCGUGACCUGCUCUGUGCUGUCCAUGCUGAGGCCACUGAGCGCCAGGGAGGUUUCCUCCAUUCUCCUGACUUUCAUUGGCCAAGGCCUCUGUCCUUGGAGAACUGCAGCCAUUUGGACAUUGUGGUUCAAGCUCUGGGUGAUUGUGUGAUGGGGAACAGUGACCAUCAGGCCUGUGGUGGGGUCUCUUCAGGAUGAUCCUUCGAAUUUACAUUUACUACAGGCCCGCAGAUGCCUGUUCUCUGACUUCACCUUACAGCCACCACAGCAGGUAAGGAAGUUCUAGCGACAAGAGAACCCUGGGACAGGGUGGGUUCGGUCCCCACGUGGGGCAGCUGGGGUGUUGGAGAGCUUGCAGCAUGAGUGCCAAGCACCGGGGCCAGGGCAUGGGACUCCUUUAUUUUUCCUUUUCCGAAUCCAUCGACCACCUUGUUAUCUUGUCAUCGAUCCUACCUAGUUCCCCAACCAGUGGAUGGAAGGCUCGCUCAUCUCGCUACUAGUAGUGAAGAUGGCGGUCCUGGUUCCAUUUAUGAGCACUUGCUCCUGGCCAGGGAGUUUCUCAGUGCCUCACACAUGGUAGCUCGCUUGGGCCCUGAAGCUGUUCUCCGAGGCUUCUGUUACUUCCACCUCGUUUGCUGAUGGGGAAGCCUGACCUGUCCUGGAUGCACACUUGCCCAAGGUCACAAGGCUCAUGAUUGACAGAACACUAGGCUUCACCCCUGGGCUGUGCUCUUAAUCACCCCUUUCACGUGCCCUGUGGUUUGCCUCAGGUGUGACCAGCCCAAGGGGUGGCUCUCUGCUUUGGGCACAGCCACCCUGACCCCAUAGCCGCUCUUCCAGUCACCUCCCUCUGCAGCUCCCCUCUGACACAAAGCUGGAUAGCUCUAUCUGCUGUUGGAUCUGGGAAAUAAGCUGCGAUGAUGUUGGUUAGGAGUUUGUAGUAUCAGUGGAAUACAGCUCUACCUGGUAGUACAGAAACUCAAUUUCUAUAAAUACAGACAGAAACAUCCAGGGAACACAUGGCCUACGUCUAAUUUGAGGAUUUACUUGUGCGUGGUUCUUCUUCCUUUGUCGGGGUCUGAAUAAACACCACUGUCCCUCUCCUUCUGGUCUUGUGCAUCCACAGAAUAGACUCCGCAGGUGGCACAGGGUGAUCUCUGUGGCUUAGGGGACCCCUCUCUUAGUCCAGGGGGACAGGAUGCAUCUUCUGGAACCUGAGGGCAGAUAGCCGUGAGAACCUGGAGGCCUGAAAGGAGGCAGGCAUCCAGUUAACCCUGUGCACAUGCAAAUGUCCCCGUAUUUUGCAUUCAUAUCUGCAGCUUGAGUCUUGGGUUUAAUAAUGAAUCACGUAUUUUUUUCCUUUCAAUGUGGGAUUUUAAAAGGUUUGGGAUAUUCUUCUGAAUGUGGGUCGGGUUUGGAUGUUCCUUGUUAUUUAGUUGCUAUUUUAAGAGAUGUGAAGCCUGUGAAAUAAUGAUGGGCACUAGUUUAUGGAAGAGAAGCAAACUUUGAGGCAUUGUAUGCAAAAAGAAGUGAUUUUUUAACUUUUAAGACUGAAGUUCCUACCUUUUUGGAUCUGAUCAACUUUGAAAAGCUUUGAAACAUUAGUCUAAAGCAUGUCUUAGCUACUUCCAAAUUUUCAUAAUCCUCUGCAAACAAUGGUUUCUGUUUUUUUCCAAGGUAAAAUUUCUUGUUACUUUUCUUCUGAUUUUUCUGAUUAUGGUGGAGACCAUUGAAAACCAAUUAUUGAAUUGUAAAGUUUAAAAGAUAUCGAAAAGUAAGAUUUGGAGAGCAUUUGUAAUUUUUCUGUGCUUUUUAUAAUAAAAGUAAUACAUCGUCAUUGCAGAAAAUGUAGCAAGAAAAAUAAAGGAAAUAGAAAUUGACUAUAGUUUUCAUCUACAGAAAAAGCACUUAAUAUUUUAGUGCUACUUCUUUUUUUUCAUGUUUCUACAAAAUAGAGAUGAUGCUCAACAUACUUUUAUCCUUGUUUUUUUACUUGUUUGUAGAUCAUGUGCAUGUUCCCAUUUCAUUAAAUAUAAAAAAAUCUCUAAUCUUGAGAUGUACUGUAAUUUAUUAAUCAAUUCUCUAUUAGAAUUUUGAAAGGCAACAUUUAGAUUCUUCUCAAGUUUUCACUACUACAAAUAAUACACGAAGAAUAUUCCACUCAAUAUUUUCAGGAAUAUUUCAGAUUAUUUUCUUAGAAUAAAUACCUAGAAUUGAAAUGUCUACCUGUGCCCAAAUUCCCCACAAGGAAGCUUGUACCAGCUUUCAGAGCAUUAGCAUGAGAACAAUCAUUUCUGUUCACCUUCUCUUUGUGAACAUAAGGAUUUUUUUUAAUUUAAUUUUUAUUUUAUAUUAAGAUAUAGUUGAUUUACAAUGUUGGGUUAGUUUCAGGUAACAGAGGGAUUUUUAAAAAAAUUUAUAUUUUCACUAAUUGGCCAGUGUAGCAUUGAUAUUUUAAUUAAUAAUAUUAUGUUUUGCUUUGGUUUUUGGCUGCUCCCAUGUCAUAAAGAAGUUCCCAGGCUCAAACCUGUGCGGUAGCAGUGACCUGAGCCACAGCGGUGACAACACUGGAUCCUUAACCACCAUGCCACCAAGGAACUCCUAAUUAAUAAUAUUUUUAAUGUUUAUUGUCCCUUGAUAUUAUUUAAAGAUGGCUUAAGAACCUGUAUGAUUUUGGGGGGGGACUUUCAUGUGAAUUAUGAUCUCAUUUAAACUCGAUGGCCAGUCUAUGCAUUUUACCGACUACACAUAACAAAGAGAGAGAAGGGAGUUGUCGGAGGUCUGCAGCUCUCCUAAGGUUCCAGCACCAGAGCAUGGCAGCCUGUCUUCUGGUCCUGUUCUCCCAGUUGAGAUGGCUCAUGGAUGCUCCCCCAAAGACGUCAAGUAUAUUAUCUACCAGCACUGUCUUUACAUUGUGCAACUUGUAAUAGGGAGAAAAGUUCUAAAUUCUGGAAUGUGUCUUACUCAUUGACAAUGAGUAUUUCUUAGCCCAACACAGAUCAUCUCAAAAUAAAGUGGACUGUCCUAGAAAGAUGAGAUUUGAUCUCCUAGAGGGACUUCAUGAAAUGGAAAGGAAAAGAGAAGGACCACUUCAAAAGUCUAUGUUGGAAGUACCUUCCAGGGUAGCUGCUUCCAGAGCUUGAGGUCAAAACCAUCAACAGCUGAGAACCAGGUGCCUCUGACCCUGGUUUCUGAUGGGAACCUGAAGGGGCCUAGAGCACAGCUGUAAAGAUCAGGAGGAAGGCAUGUCCCCUUCAGACCCAUCAAGAUCAGGAGGGUCUCAGGGGCAUGUAGAGCAGUGAGGGCUUUCACCAACUACUGUUUAGAAGUUGACCCGUAACUUGCUAGUCAUUAUUUUUAUCCCCAAAUUAUUUGCAACUUGAUCCAACUGAUGUAAAAGUUGAUAUGGUGAUUGUGUGUCAGACCCUGUUGUAAACCCUAGUGAUUCAGAGUGAAUGCAAGAGAAAUAUCCUGCUAUCAAGAAGUGUAAUGUAGACGAAACAUAAGUAAAUUCUUUAGUACACUAGAAAGUAUUCACACUAUAAAUGCAGUGG
This 4111-nucleotide long non-coding RNA is filed under the name Sus scrofa (pig). RNAcentral describes it as "lncRNA (ENSSSCG00000060688.1, ENSSSCG00130031327.1, ENSSSCG00160028505.1)". The record is from RNAcentral. Lineage: Eukaryota; Metazoa; Chordata; Mammalia; Artiodactyla; Suidae.